UACGUAGGGGGCUAGCGUUGUCCGGAAUCAUUGGGCGUAAAGAGCGUGUAGGCGGCCCGGUAAGUCGGCUGUGAAAGUCGGGGGCUCAACCCUCGAAUGCCGGUGGAUACUGUCGGGCUAGAGUGCGGAAGAGGCGAGUGGAAUUCCUGGUGUAGCGGUGAAAUGCGCAGAUAUCAGGAGGAACACCAAUUGCGAAGGCAGCUCGCUGGGACGUAACUGACACUGAGGCACGAAAGCGUGGGGAGCAAACAGG
RNAcentral lists this ribosomal RNA (253 nucleotides) under uncultured bacterium. RNAcentral's name for it is "partial 16S ribosomal RNA". It matches the Rfam family "Bacterial small subunit ribosomal RNA", at positions 524 to 776 of the family's 1533-position model. The record is from RNAcentral.